AUGUUUGGGGAGUGGGAAGACUUAUUUCCCCUGGUUUUUGUCAGAAAGCUGGUCCGAGAGAUUUUGGAUCAUAACCCUCUGCUGCUUAACUCUGGGGAAGAGGGACGAGAGGCCCCCAAACCACGCGACUUUCGUUUUGAUCUUUCUUGGAUUAAGGAUGAACGCUUCCUGCCUCUGGUCAGUAAAAUCUGGGCUCGAGGGGUUCUUUCUAAAGACCCCAUCGAUGUCCUGAAUAUUAAGCUGAAGAGAUUCAAAACCUUUUUUAAAGGGCGGGGCUCGGACAAAUUUGGUCACAAUAGGAGGUUGAAGGAGGAUCCCAGGCUGGAGUUAGCCGCGCUGGAAGAACUGGAGGAGGAUGGGCCCCUUACCCUGGAUGUGUAUAGUAGGAAAAUUGAUGUGUGCUUUGAACUCCAUGGGAUCUUGGUUAACAAAGAGAUUUACUGGCUUCAGCAAUUGCACGAGCGAUGGCUGCUUAAGGGUGAUCUGAACACUGAUUAUUUUCACAAGAUUGCCAAUGGGCGUAAGCGCAAAAAUACGAUCCAUGCUCUUAAAGCUGGGGAGGUGGAAAUAGAGGGCACAGAUAACCUGAUCACCCAUGCUACCGAGUUUUAUAAAGAUCUUUUUGGCCCAGCUCAGGGCAACCAAUUCCAUCUGGACCCUGAUACUUGGUCCGAGGACGAAAGGUUGAGUGAGGAUGAGAAUAGAGAUCUCUGUCAUGAAUUCACGGAGACUGAAGUUAAGGAUGCUCUUUUCUCUAUGGCCACCAAUAUGGCUCCUGGUCCGGACAAUGUACCUGUUGAAUUUUAUCAAAUAUGUUGGGAUAUAGUAAAGGAUGAUGUCAUGUCCCUUUUUAGGCAUUUCUAUAAUGGGACGCUUGAUGUUCAACGUCUUAAUUAUGGGGUGAUUACCUUACUACCCAAAGUGUCGGGAGCUGAAAAAAUCCAACAGUUCAGACUAAUAUGUCUCCUGAGGUGCCCAUAUAAGCUUAUUACAAAAGUAAUGGAUCGUAGGGUGGAGGUGUAUGCUGAUAAGUUGAUUAGCCCUACCCAGAAUGCGUUUAUUAAAGGUAGGAACAUUAUGGAUGGGGUUCUCUCCUUGCAUGAAAUUUUGAAUUACACUCAUGUCAAAAAAAGAGUUGGCAUAGUGCUUAAGCUGUAUUUUGAGAAAGCAUAUGACAAAGUUAACUGA
Molecule: ribosomal RNA, 1188 nt
Filed under: Triticum aestivum (bread wheat)
Lineage: Eukaryota; Viridiplantae; Streptophyta; Magnoliopsida; Poales; Poaceae
Description: partial small subunit ribosomal RNA
Source: RNAcentral